GGAGGGGGGGGGGCAGGGGCUCUUCAGCAUUUCCUUCUUUAUGGACCGUGGCGAAAUCCGAGUGAACUGGGACGAGGUCAAGCCGUCCCGCCAGACUGGACCGACCGGUCCCGUCGGCGGUCGACCAGCUUCCCGUGACCGGGCACCCCUCCCCGUUCUCGUACGCGCUUGGUGUUUGGUUCGAGUCACCCGUCAUCUGUACCUCACCUCAGAGGCGCUGGAGCCCAUACGUUUCUCUUCAUUAAUGUUAACAAGCAAUCGUAAAAGCAAGAACCUUUUUAACAGCAACAAGAAGUACGAAUCAACUCAAAAGUCCAUCGAGAUCUGCACCAAAGUAUUCGUUCGUUUCCGUCUUUCUUAUGCGAGGCUACGCGGUGUGUAUAUGAGGUACGGAGGGGGGGGGGUCCCCACUUUCCUCUUCUCGUCGGUACGAUGUUUUACGGGGUUUUUUAUUUUAAACGACUGGCUGAUAAGUGACCUUCUCUGGCCGCGACCGAAACUUAAACGAGACCGCCGGAGACGCACUGACCCACCGUCAGAAAGAGAAGAGCGAACCGGCGAAACGUGGCUGCCCCCCCCACCCCAGAUUCGGUUUUUUAUAUAUUUGGUUUAAUUUAAAUGUGGGGGGUGUUUGACUUUUUUUUUUUUUUGAUUAAAAAAUAAUAUUUGUAUUGCUUUUUAUUUUCUCAGGAUUUUGCUUUUUAAAAUAUUUUGUGGUAUUCAAUGCCUGCCUUUUUUAAAGCAUUUUUUCUGUCUUGUGUAUAAUUAUUUUGAUUCUGAUGAUUAUUGCCUUGAUUUGAUUUGAUUUUUUUUUUUUUUUUAAAUACAUGCAAAAACAUACUCUGCCAUUUCCUGCUGUGCGCUUUUUAUGUGCAUUUCAUACGUUGCUCGUUUAACAUCUUCAAACACCUGUAGAUGAUUGGGUUAGAACCAAAGACAUGGCCUCCGUUUUGCUCUUUCCGUGACAUUUCCUCACCGUUCGGUGUGAUUUCAGUAAUUCCACACCCUCUCGACACCAGCCACAGUGGUGAAGGAGCUGCAACAGAAAUCCCCAGCAGCAUGCUCUCAGCUCCAUAUGCAUCUUGAGGAGGAACUGCUGUUUAAAUAUAUAUAUAUACACGCACAAAAAUAAUAAAUGUGUUAUUUUAAUCUAACGUGCGUUGCAGGACUGGUUUUUGCCAGCAAGCAAGACCAGUUCAAAAACUCGUUUUUAAAAAUUCUUAUCUUGCAACAUGGAAUUAUUGUGCGUUGUUGCGUCGACCAAUGAGAGGCAUAGUUUGCACCACGUGACGCCCCUCAGGUGUCGUGGCCGUAUCCAUGGUAACCCC
Molecule: long non-coding RNA, 1328 nt
Organism: Denticeps clupeoides (denticle herring)
Lineage: Eukaryota; Metazoa; Chordata; Actinopteri; Clupeiformes; Denticipitidae
Source: Ensembl